AUCUGCUGUACAAAAUCGGCGAGCACCCGGUACCGAAUUAAUGGUCGGUGUACGCACAUAUUGUGCACUUCCGUACACACCGUCGGGUGCCAGACCAGUUGGCUUUUCUAUUCCUUUGUUCAGGGGUGAUCUCUACUUUAGAGAUCGCGACCUAGGGAGUGAGUGCCUCUGAUGGUAUCUUUAGGAGAGCGAGAUCCCCGAGGUACAUGGUCACGCGGCCUCGCCGACGAGCUGCCGCUCCAGCAAUCCUCUUUCGGCUAUUCUGUCGCCGCCCGCGGCCUCGCACCGCGUCCGCCUCCUCACCGCCCGCAGCCCCUGCCGUCCGCGCUGCCGGCCGUCACAGGCGCAGCUGUUGGUGUAGCGACCGAAGUCGAAGUUGUUGGCGUCCCCAUCCUCUGCCGUCGAGGCGCCAAAGUAGCGGCAGCAGCUAAUACUGCUACAACAGGCCGACCUACCACGAGUUCAGGGCCGUGUCGCCAGCUACCGCCGGUACCACGCCGGCAUUUCGGAGAGGCGCUCGGACGAGGUCGGUCGCAACCGCAGUCGCACAUGACGCUUGCGGUGUCCGUGCUUCGGUCCCCCGGCGCCGAUUCGCGCCCUCGCGCCGCGCCGGCACGUCGCCGGUCGGCCCCCGCGAAGCGUCGCGCCUCCGGCACCGGACCCCGCGCCGCACCUUCCGCGUUCAGGCCGCCACGUCUGCCCGCGCACUCACGCCGGUGCCGGACCGCGCCCGCCGUGCGCCUCCGGCCCCUCGCCGUGACUGUGUCGGUCCUUGCCGGUGCCGCGCCCGCUUGCACCGGUGCCGGCCGCUGCUCCCGGGCUCCACGCCGUUCAAAACUCCGGACCACGAGAGCCAAUGCUCGCACGACUAUUGCACAAAUCACAUCUUGCUCUCUUACGUUUUACUAAGUUCACAGUAGAAAUAACUAGUACAAGU
This 937-nucleotide ribosomal RNA is filed under the name Triticum aestivum (bread wheat). RNAcentral's name for it is "partial small subunit ribosomal RNA". Lineage: Eukaryota; Viridiplantae; Streptophyta; Magnoliopsida; Poales; Poaceae. The record is from RNAcentral.